UUGAACAUCCGACCUCAGGUUUAUCAGACCUGCGCUCUAACCACCCGAGCUAUGAUCCC
This 59-nucleotide transfer RNA is filed under the name Borrelia miyamotoi. RNAcentral describes it as "partial tRNA-Ile". Lineage: Bacteria; Pseudomonadati; Spirochaetota; Spirochaetia; Spirochaetales; Borreliaceae. The record is from RNAcentral.